Molecule: ribosomal RNA, 274 nt
Filed under: uncultured bacterium
Lineage: Bacteria
Description: partial 16S ribosomal RNA
Rfam family: Archaeal small subunit ribosomal RNA
Source: RNAcentral
AAACCAGCACCUCAAGUGGUCAGGAUGAUUAUUGGGCCUAAAGCAUCCGUAGCCUGUUCUGUAAGUUUCCGGUUAAAUCCAUUAGCUCAACUAAUGGGCCGCCGAAAAUACUGCAAAACUAGGGAGUGGGAGAGGUAGACGGUACUCGGUAGGAAGGGGUAAAAUCCUUUGAUCUAUUGAUGACCACCUGUGGCGAAGGCGGUCUACCAGAACACGUCCGACGGUGAGGGAUGAAAGCUGGGGGAGCAAACCGGAUUAGAAACCCCAGUAGUCC